UCUCCGUAGGUGAACCUGCGGAGGGAUCAUUCACAUGAUUUACUUUAUAAACAAACUGUGGACUUUAUUAUCAUACUAUUCUUGUAGGGAUUAUUUUAUAAUCUUUUACAACGUCAUUCGAUGAACAUUAGAUAGUUGGCUUGUUUUUUUUUAAUAAAAAACUUUCUCAGCUGAUUUGUAUGUUAGACUAAACAUCUAUUCAAUCAAUCAACCAAAAACAUAGAAACAACUCUAUGCCCUGGAUAUCUUGGUUCUC
This 256-nucleotide unclassified non-coding RNA is filed under the name plant metagenome. Its description in RNAcentral is "partial contains small subunit ribosomal RNA, internal transcribed spacer 1, and 5.8S ribosomal RNA". The record is from RNAcentral.